AGAGGAGCCAAGCAGUUGGGUACGGUGCUCACUGCUCAUUACGCUAAAAGCAUAUCCACCAAAAAAAAAUCUUAAGGAAAAGAACGAUCAUUAGACUUUCCAGUUACUGAUAGCCUACUUUUUCUCCGAUUCCAAUCAAUAUUCGCAUUGAAUAUAAUAAUAUCAGAUAAUGAUUUAUAUCAGAAAAUAAAAAGAAGAGAUAAGAGAAUCCACUUUCACAGCUAAAUUAAAAAAAUUAAUAAUAAUUAAAAAGACCAAAAAAAUUGAAGACGCG
This 274-nucleotide unclassified non-coding RNA is filed under the name Hevea brasiliensis (rubber tree). Lineage: Eukaryota; Viridiplantae; Streptophyta; Magnoliopsida; Malpighiales; Euphorbiaceae. The record is from RNAcentral.